RNAcentral lists this ribosomal RNA (322 nucleotides) under uncultured bacterium. RNAcentral describes it as "bacterial SSU rRNA". It matches the Rfam family "Bacterial small subunit ribosomal RNA", at positions 1184 to 1506 of the family's 1533-position model. The record is from RNAcentral.
GUCAAUCAUCAUGCCCCUUAUGACCUGGGCUACACACGUGCUACAAUGGUUGGUACAACGAGUUGCGAGUCGGUGACGGCGAGCUAAUCUCUUAAAGCCAAUCUCAGUUCGGAUUGUAGGCUGCAACUCGCCUACAUGAAGUCGGAAUCGCUAGUAAUCGCGGAUCAGCACGCCGCGGUGAAUACGUUCCCGGGCCUUGUACACACCGCCCGUCACACCACGAGAGUUUGUAACACCCGAAGUCGGUGAGGUAACCUUUUGGAGCCAGCCGCCUAAGGUGGGACAGAUGAUUGGGGUGAAGUCGUAACAGGGUAACCGUAAG